Molecule: microRNA precursor, 90 nt
Filed under: Amborella trichopoda
Lineage: Eukaryota; Viridiplantae; Streptophyta; Magnoliopsida; Amborellales; Amborellaceae
Description: miR8578 stem-loop (atr-MIR8578)
Source: miRBase by way of RNAcentral
AAUCUUUAUGAGUGAUCUUUGCAAUAGUUUCCUUAUGGAAAUAUUGUGGUUUUUGGAAGGAGACUAUUGCGAAUGUCACUCAUUAAGAUU